UUUCUAUAAUGUUUCAAUACUUUUCGUCACUUGAUUCCCCUCACAAAGCCCUAAUUUCCCAUUUCCUUUUGGCUUCUGAUUCCCAAUUGUGAUUCAUGUCUUUGCCAUAACCUUUCAAAUUCAACUACUUUUUUGUUGCUAGCGACAAUUAUCAACAUAGAGAAACAACAAAAAGUUCUGGACAUGAAAUCUUUUUCUAAGUCAUAUGAUUUUCCAGAAAAAAACGUUCAAGGAGAUUAUGGCAUUGCUAUAAUUGUAGCAGGGUGUUCUGCCAUUUGAGUUUGAGUAACAAUUGUUGUGGGACAUUUUCUUGUUGUUGGAAUACUAACCAUACAAAACAUCGUCAUCACACCUCUUCAAUUUUGAAAGAAGAAGAAACAAAUGAUUCUGUGAAGAUGGAUCUUCCUCAACAACAAUCAUCUAAACAAGAAUUUGAAGUGACUUCCAACUUAAGUACCAAUUGUUGCAAUUGGUUCAAAUGUUUUUCUUGUUCUUGUUCUUUUUGUAAAUUUUCUUGUACCAGUUGCCAAUGUUGUUAACAUAUUGGGUUUUAUAUCAAAUGCCACAUUUUUUUACAGUACCGCCACCUUUAGGUACUUAGGUUUGA
This is an RNA transcript of Cajanus cajan (pigeon pea), 607 nucleotides long. RefSeq lists it as uncharacterized. The record is from RefSeq and is a predicted model, not a curated record. NCBI's taxonomy places the organism in Eukaryota, Viridiplantae, Streptophyta, Magnoliopsida, Fabales, Fabaceae.